AAUCAACGCUGGCGGCGUGCCUAACACAUGCAAGUCGAACGCGAAAAGCCCCUUCGGGGGCGAAGUAGAGUGGCGUCCGGGUGAGUAACACGUGGGUAAUCUACCUCCGGGUGGGGAAUAACUCGCCGAAAGGCGGGCUAAUACCGCAUAAUGCAGCGGCACCGAAUGGUGAUUAGUUGUUAAAGCGGGGGACCUUAGGGCCUCGCGUCUGGAGAGGAGCCUGCGGCAGAUUAGCUUGUUGGAGGGUAAUGGCCUACCAAGGCUGCGAUCUGUAGCUGGUCUGAGAGGACGGCCAGCCACACUGGCACUGACACACGGGCCAGACUCCUACGGGAGGCAGCAGUGGGGAAUUUU
This 354-nucleotide ribosomal RNA is filed under the name uncultured bacterium. RNAcentral describes it as "bacterial SSU rRNA". It matches the Rfam family "Bacterial small subunit ribosomal RNA", at positions 32 to 365 of the family's 1533-position model. The record is from RNAcentral.